UUUUUUUUUUUUUUGUUUUGUUUUUAUUAUCAUUCAUUUUUUUUUUUUCAGCGUUAUGCUAUAACAAUAUGUUAUUUCAUUAUAAUUUAUACGUGGUUUUUAAUAAAUUAUAUAUUGCUGCUGUUCUAAAACUAAUAUACCGCAGAUCGGCGAGUACUGGCAUAUUUUUGAAUUUUUAUUACUACGCGUUAUCCCGACUUUUAUUUCGUUAAUAUUAUACAGAAUAAUUCCGUUAAAACGUUGAGCAUUUUUUUUUUUUUUUUUCUAUAAAGGCAUAGUAAUGUACAUGGUGCUGUAAUGCUGUAUACAUAGUUGUUUGUCUGACUACACUUAGGCGUAAUUGCAUGUAACCAAUAUACGCAGUAUCGCGUGAAUGUAAAUUUUGGUCGAUAUUAACAGAUUAAUACUUCAAUACUCAUUAUAUGCAUGCAAUUUGUUUAGAUUCUGAAAGGUGCGAGAAAUGUAUUGGUUUUACAAUGGUGUUAACUUUUUUUCCUGUAAAAAAAACUAUUCUACCAGCAAUUUAUCUCCGAUUUUCAAUUAUAGCAAUUUUUCUGAAAGAAAAUCUGACUGGGAUGGUAUUUUAAGGAGGUCAAAGAUGAGGAAAAUCGGAAAAAUAAACGUAAGAAUAACGAGAAAAUGUACGAAAUAUUCUAUUUUUAAAUCAUAAAUAUUACGGCCUUUUAUAACAUGUAUAACAGAACUCCACCCAUAAUCAUAUUCAAAGAUUAAUCGUUGAGUUCAAAUAAACAUCAACUUCCUCUCUAUAUUCUUCCGUUCCAACUUUUCACCUACAACAUUGACUCACUCAUCAUGCGAAGUAUAUCCACAAAUUCCAUUUUUUUUAAUCGUACUUAAUUUCGUUUAGAUUUUUGACGUACUACAAAUAUAUUGCUUUUACUAUAUUUAUAUUGUGCACUCAUGUUUUAUGUUUAUGAACAGCGUUUCCAACAGAAAUCUUACUUCUAUUUUCGAAUGUACCAAAUAGUAUAUUUUCGAUUGCAAACGGGUCUCAUCUGUGGCCUGAUGGAUUACAAAGUUAAAGCAACAAAAUGUAUCUAAACUAAAAUUAAAUCUAUUUUAUCAAUUUAUGGAAUUUUUAUUACAAGUUGCUAUUUUGGAUAAAAUUGAACACCCCCCCCCCCCCAAAAAAAAAAAAAACAAAAAUGUAACAUGUUUUAUUAUAUCAUUAUUAUUAUUAUAUGUAUAAAUAAAAUUACGUAUAAACGAAAAUUGUUUCUUAAAUUCCCUAAUAAAAUUAAAAAAAAAACACUUUCCGAGAUAAUAAGUGUCUUGCGUCAUGUUAAUCACACUAUAAAAUUUAUAAAUUAUAUAAAUUAUAUGAUAUGUAACGACAAUAUGUAAUCGGCAGUUCUUAUUUAUGACUCGUUAUCAUAUCAUGAUAGUUUACUAUCUUUCCCGGGAGAGUCCUAAUUCUGUUACCGAAUAUGGAUAUUUAUUAGUGUAACAUCUUCGAGCCUGGAUCAAAUUUAUCGUUUAAUUUACAUAAUUAAAAUAUCAGGUUAUCUGGAUAAUAAUCCAAGUGUUCCUUCGUAGGUUUGAAAUUAAAGAAACGUAUCAAUAAAAAAAACAUAUUUCUUAACGUAUACCUAUUAACUAAUUUUUAUUUUUUUGUAACCUAAAAUGGUAAAAGAAAAAAGAGCACGUAUUCUAAAAGUAUUUUGUGAUUUUUUGUGCGUAUUCACUUCAUUUUUAUUAUUAUUUUUUUUUUUAAUAGUUAAUGAAAC
This 1748-nucleotide long non-coding RNA is filed under the name Cinara cedri. The record is from RNAcentral. Lineage: Eukaryota; Metazoa; Arthropoda; Insecta; Hemiptera; Aphididae.